Molecule: unclassified non-coding RNA, 332 nt
Filed under: soil metagenome
Description: partial contains 5.8S ribosomal RNA, internal transcribed spacer 2, and large subunit ribosomal RNA
Rfam family: 5.8S ribosomal RNA (bases 1-120)
Source: RNAcentral
GAUGAAGAACGCAGCGAAAUGCGAAAAGUAGUGUGAAUUGCAGAAUUCAGUGAAUCAUCGAAUCUUUGAACGCACAUUGCGCCCCUUGGUAUUCCAUGGGGCAUGCCUGUUCGAGCGUCAUUUUGUACCCUCAAGCACUGCUUGGUGUUGGGCGUUUGUCCUGCAGAGGACUCGCCUGAAAGCGAUUGGCGGCCAACGUAGUCGUGGCAGAGCGCAGCACAAUCUCGCGUCUCUCCCCUCUGCGUCGGCGUCCAUGAAGCCCACAAUCUCAACGUUUGACCUCGGAUCAGGUAGGGAUACCCGCUGAACUUAAGCAUAUCAUAAGCGGAGGA